AUUGAACGCUGGCGGCAUGCCUUACACAUGCAAGUCGAACGGCAGCACGGGGGCAACCCUGGUGGCGAGUGGCGAACGGAUGAGUAAUACAUCGGAACGUGCCCUGAAGUGGGGGAUAACGUAGCGAAAGUUACGCUAAUACCGCAUAUUCUGUGAGCAGGAAAGCAGGGGAUCGCAAGACCUUGUGCUUUAGGAGCGGCCGAUGUCGGAUUAGCUAGUUGGUGAGGUAAAGGCUCACCAAGGCGACGAUCCGUAGCGGGUCUGAGAGGAUGAUCCGCCACACUGGGACUGAGACACGGCCCAGACUCCUACGGGAGGCAGCAGUGGGGAAUUUUGGACAAUGGGCGCAAGCCUGAUCCAGCCAUGCCGCGUGAGUGAAGAA
Molecule: ribosomal RNA, 382 nt
Filed under: uncultured bacterium
Lineage: Bacteria
Description: bacterial SSU rRNA
Rfam family: Bacterial small subunit ribosomal RNA
Source: RNAcentral